GUGGGGAAUAUUGGUCAAUGGGGGAAACCCUGAACCAGCAACGCCGCGUGAAGGAAGAAGGCUUUCGGGUUGUAAACUUCUUUGACAGGGGACGAAAUAAAUGACGGUACCCUGAAAACAAGCCACGGCUAACUACGUGCCAGCAGCCGCGGUAAUACGUAGGUGGCAAGCGUUGUCCGGAUUUACUGGGUGUAAAGGGCGUGUAGGCGGGACAGUAAGUCAGAUGUGAAAUGCUGAGGCUUAACCUCAGAGCUGCAUUUGAAACUAUUGUUCUUGAGUGAUGGAGAGGCAGGCGGAAUGCCGUGUGUAGCGGUGAAAUGCGUAGAUAUACGGAGGAACACCAGUGGCGAAGGCGGCCUGCUGGACAUUAACUGACGCUGAGGCGCGAAAGCGUGGGGAGCAAACAGGAUUAGAAACCCUGGUAGUCC
Molecule: ribosomal RNA, 428 nt
Filed under: uncultured bacterium
Lineage: Bacteria
Description: partial 16S ribosomal RNA
Rfam family: Bacterial small subunit ribosomal RNA
Source: RNAcentral